This is a ribosomal RNA of 406 nucleotides. It matches the Rfam family "Bacterial large subunit ribosomal RNA", at positions 1940 to 2591 of the family's 2925-position model.
CUUUGACCGUGCGAAGGUAGAGCAAUAACGAGCCUCUUAAUUAGGGGACAGAAUGAAUGAACCAACGAAAAAGAUACUGUCUCACAUCUACACAAUGAAAUUUGUACAUAGGUGAAAACCCCUAUAUUUCAAUUAAAGACAAGAAGACCCUAUAAGCUUUUUUAAACCAUAAUAAAACCAAUUAUAUAUAAUUUAGUUGGGGCGACUUAAAGAACUAAACACUUAUACUAAACAGAAAUAAUUUUUCACUAAAAUACAUCCAAUCACACUUAAGCAAGCUACUGUAGGGAUAACAGGCUAAUAUUUUCCAAGAGCACGUAUCAACGAAAAUGCUUAGCACCUCGAUGUUGGCUUAGGGAAUCUACCUCAUGCAGAAGUGAGAACAGAAGGUUUGUUCAACCAUUAA